GUAGGUGGCAAGCGUUGUCCGGAAUUAUUGGGCGUAAAGCGCGCGCAGGCGGUUCUUUAAGUCUGAUGUGAAAGCCCACGGGCUCAACCGUGGAGGGUCAUUGGAAACUGGAGAACUUGAGUACAGAAGAGGAAAGCGGAAUUCCACGUGUAGCGGUGAAAUGCGUAGAGAUGUGGAGGAACACCAGUGGGGAAGGCGGCUUUCUGGUCUGUAACUGACGCUGAGGCGCGAAAGCGUGGGGAGCAAACAGGAUUAGAUACCCUGGUAGUCCACGCCGUAAACGAUGAGUGCUAAGUGUUAGGGGGUUUCCGCCCCUUAGUGCUGCAGCUAACGCAUUAAGCACUCCGCCUGGGGAGUACGGCCGCAAAGGCUG
Molecule: ribosomal RNA, 373 nt
Filed under: uncultured organism
Description: partial 16S ribosomal RNA
Rfam family: Bacterial small subunit ribosomal RNA
Source: RNAcentral